Non-coding RNA from Sphagnurus paluster, 92 nucleotides. The record is from the annotation of a GenBank genome assembly. NCBI's taxonomy places the organism in Eukaryota, Fungi, Basidiomycota, Agaricomycetes, Agaricales, Lyophyllaceae.
GGCGCUGUAGUGUAGAGGUUAUCACGCGAGAUUCUGAUAAUAUCUGGUGGCAUAGAUUUCUCGAAACCCAGGUUCGAGUCCUGGCAGUGCCU